GUGCUCACUUCAGCAGCACAUAUACUAAAAUUGGAAUGGUACAGAAAAGAUUAGCAUGGCCUCUGUGCCAGGAUGCCAUGCAAAUUCAUGAAGCACUCCAUAUUUCU
Molecule: small nuclear RNA, 107 nt
Filed under: Dasypus novemcinctus (nine-banded armadillo)
Lineage: Eukaryota; Metazoa; Chordata; Mammalia; Cingulata; Dasypodidae
Source: RNAcentral